UUUUCAACAUUUUAUUACUUCAAUCUGUGUCUUACAAGUUACGACAGUUUCAGUAGGAAUGUUUGAAGGACAAUGGCUUCUGCUUUUUUCACAUUCACGGGGCGUAGGGGGCGUGGCUGACUCGAGGCUGACUCCUGACAACUAUUAAAAUACUGUCAGGGGAAUUAUCAGCUAUUAUAAUCACUGCAGGGGCCUUCAGUAACCUCUAUGACGCUCUACCUCACAUCCCGUUUUGCUUUGUUCUGGUUUGGUCAGGUCUGCUUCGUUCCUAUUGAAUCACCGAAGCUUCAUAUCACCUCAAAAGACACUCACCACAAAUCACUUCAGCAUUCUCACACUUCUGAAUCACCACUAUCACCAUCACCACCAGCCCCUGACAGCCCUAAUAUGCACAUCACCAGCCCUGUCAGCCCCAAUCAGCCUCACCUCCGCAGCCCUUGACUAUGGAACAAACGGGCGGGCAUUGGUACGGAAGGGAGGAACUCAGACUGUACACAUAUUCAGCGAUAACUCAAACUCUGCCUAACGAAACUGAUUGGAAACCGUACAUAUUCUGUGGCAACUUAAGUUUUUACAUGUAGAAAUAAAAGAAACUGUACAAAUUCAGCGGUUAAGGGAAUAUUUGAUGAAAACUGUACUUAUUCUACCGUCACUGAAGUUUUGUAGAGAUAAGUAGAGGGAAAAAAAUGUACCGAUUCAGUAGAUUUUGCAAGGAAAGUAAAGCGAAACUGUACAAAUUCAGCAGUAAGAGGAAAGUAGAUGAAAACUGUACUUAUUCUGCAGUAUAUGAAGAGUAAAACAAGAAGUAAAGAAAAGUAAAUGAAAACUGUACUUAUUAUGCAGUAACUUAAGUAAAAAAAAAAGUAAAGAAGUAAGAAAAGUAACUGAAAUCUGUAUUUAUUCUGCGACAACUCAAUUCAAGCUGUUUGUAAAAGAAAAUUAAGUGAUAACUGUACACAAUCCGCAGCGAUUCAAGCUUUCUUAGACAUAAACUAAAACAAAACUGUACAAAUUCAGCGGCAACUCAAUGUUUUUCCGAGAACACACUGAAAACAAAACAAAAAACAAAAGAUAAUUUGUUCACACACACACAUUGAGGUUUUCCCAAGGCAUUGAAACUGAAAAAUUCGAAACAUUUACUGAAACAAAACUGUACAAAUUCAGCGGCAACUCAAUGUUUUCCGAGAACACACUGAAAACAAAACAAAAAACAAAAGAUAAUCUGUUCACACACACACUGAGGUUUUCCCAAGGCAUUGAAACUGAACAUUCUAAACAUUCACUGAAACAAAACUGUGCAAAUUCAGCGGCAACUCAAGCUUUUCCGAGUACAUACUGAAAUCAAAACAAAAAAGAUAAUCUGUUCACACACUGAGGUUUUCCCAAGGCAUUGAAACUGAAAAUUCUAAACAUUCACUGAAACAAAACCUUUUUCACAUCACAUAAUUUUCCUCCCGUUUUUCGACUGAGCUGAAAGAAAUAUUUACUGAAAAACGCGUAAAUAUUCCCAAGACACAUGAAACUCUCGGAAAAGAAAAUAUCACUUAAAAAACUAUCAAUAUUCCGUCGAUAAACAAGUUUGCUUUGACAUCACAGCGACAAGGAGAGACUAUUUUAAUAUUUUACUCUGCGAAAACUCAAAUAUUCCCGAGAAACAUGACAACCUCGGAAAGAAAGUAUUACUGAAAAACUCAAUAUUCCGUCGAUAUAUAACUUCACUUUGACAUCACAGCGACAAAGAGAGACUAUUUUCUUUCAAUAUUUUACUCUGCGAAAACUCAAAUAUUCCCGAGAAACAUGACAACCUCGGAAAGAAAGUAUUAUUGAAAAACUAAAUAUUCCGUCGAUAUAUAACUUCACUUUGACAUCACAGCGACAAGGAGAGACUAUUUUCUUUCAAUAUUUUACUCUGCGAAAACUCAAAUAUUCCCGAGAAACAUGACAACCUCGGAAAGAAAGUAUUACUGAAAAACUCAAUAUUCCGUCGAUAUAUUCCUUCACUUUGACAUCACAGCGACAAGGAGAGACUAUUUUCUUUCAAUAUUUUACUCUGCGCUUAAGAAAGUCUUGCCGUAAGUAAUCCUGCACUCAGAACUUAGAAAAAAAAAUAAUAAAAGUUAAUAAAAUAGUAAUGAUAUGCAAGUUAAGUUGAUUCAAGGUAUUCACUUCUAUCCUUAUACAUUAGCCUCUUUUUUAUCUCUUUCUUCUUUCAUUUCUCUCUCUCUCUUCCUUUUUUCAUCACUUUUUUUCUUUUAUCUCCCUCUUUCUUUCUUAUUUUAUCUCUCCUACUUUCACCACUAUCUCUCUUCUCUUAUCUCCCUCUCUCUUCUAUAAUCUCUUUCUCUUUUCUCUUUUGUCCAUGGAAUAGAUUUUAACCCCAAAGCAACAUAGCAAUACCGACGGAAGGAUUUUCUAAUGUAAUGAUUGCACGUAUUUGAAGAGGAUCAAGGUUACGAUUAAGUUUGAUCUGUCGCUAUUGAGUACAAAGUUCGCAUUGCAAGUUGCUCUUCCCUCCGUCACCUAACGCUUGGCACUGUGUUAAGUCUUUCCGGUCUGGUAACAGUGGCAGUAUGACCAUUUGAGUAAAGAAACGGAAAUAACUUAAAAAAAAAAAAAAAAUAGUCUACUCACUUUCUGACCAAAUAUAACUACCUAACCAAACACACCUGAAUCAUGUUUUCUACUAAUUUCCUUUCGAUCUCAUUCUAAUCCAUAAUAUCUUUCCGUGUAUUUUAAUCUUUCAUGACUAACCGAAGUAAAAAAAUAAA
Molecule: long non-coding RNA, 2768 nt
Organism: Eriocheir sinensis (Chinese mitten crab)
Lineage: Eukaryota; Metazoa; Arthropoda; Malacostraca; Decapoda; Varunidae
Exons: 2
Source: RefSeq, a predicted model, not a curated record